This 269-nucleotide long non-coding RNA is filed under the name Gossypium raimondii (Peruvian cotton). RNAcentral's name for it is "long non-coding RNA (GRAI_LNC006463)". Lineage: Eukaryota; Viridiplantae; Streptophyta; Magnoliopsida; Malvales; Malvaceae. The record is from RNAcentral.
UGGACACGUGUCCCUUCUCCAGUAGAUCAGCGAGCCAGGGACUAAAUUGAAACACGCGACAAAUUUGAUGGCCAAAUCUAUAAAAAGAAAAAAGUAGAAAAAAGGACUAAAUUGAAGCGCGACUCAAAAGCGAAAGGACUAUUCAUGCAAAUAGCCCAAGCGUUGAAAAUACGCGGUGUAAUGGCCCAUUUUUGCCCGGGGCCCAAGAAUAAAAAAAACCAAAUAAAAGCCCAAAAUUAAACAGUCCAUUAUAACAAAAUUAACCCAAA